UCCCUGGAGGACUAGUGGUUAGGCCUCAGUGCUCUCACCGCCGAGUUCUGGGCUCAAUUCCCGACCAGGGAA
Molecule: transfer RNA, 72 nt
Filed under: Pangasianodon hypophthalmus (striped catfish)
Lineage: Eukaryota; Metazoa; Chordata; Actinopteri; Siluriformes; Pangasiidae
Description: tRNA-Glu
Rfam family: tRNA
About the family: Transfer RNA (tRNA) molecules are approximately 80 nucleotides in length.
Source: RNAcentral